This 500-nucleotide long non-coding RNA is filed under the name Elaeis guineensis (African oil palm). RNAcentral's name for it is "long non-coding RNA (EGUI_LNC060235)". The record is from RNAcentral. Lineage: Eukaryota; Viridiplantae; Streptophyta; Magnoliopsida; Arecales; Arecaceae.
AGCUAAUUUAUGAACAAGAAUAGUCUUCUGUUUUCCUAAUAAACAUGUUUCUUUUGAAUGCCAGCAGCUCUGACACAAGGUCCAUCUUCCCCAGUUACUGUCAAGGGAACAACUUUUUCAUCAUUAUGUUCUACAUGUUUGGCAAGAUUGUGGAGCAACACGAUCAUAGCGUUAAUAAAGCCAAAAAUCCCUGCAAGACUUGAUCCAACAUAUCAUGUAAGUAGUAACUCCCCUUGCAUAUUCCCCACUCCCAUUGUACAGUAGCUUCUUGCCACAAAUUGUCUCACCAGGUCAUGUCAUGGCAUGAACAAGCAUGGUAAAGCUGGUGUAGGCUAAUAAAAGUCAAAAGAUUGCCUCGCACAUUAUGAAUAUUUCUCUAGGAAUUUCAAAGUUUCUAAAAGACCCCAGGGUUUAUGAUACCGUGAUAUCUCAUGUGGGAGGUGUCUUCUGAGUUUGCAACAGGAUAUCUCCCUUUACUUUUUUUUUUUUUCCUUUUAAUA